RNAcentral lists this ribosomal RNA (517 nucleotides) under uncultured bacterium. RNAcentral describes it as "bacterial SSU rRNA". It matches the Rfam family "Bacterial small subunit ribosomal RNA", at positions 382 to 916 of the family's 1533-position model. The record is from RNAcentral.
CCUGACGCAGCGACGCCGCGUGGAGGAUGACGCAUUUCGGUGUGUAAACUCCUUUUAUCAAGGAAGAAAAUGACGGUACUUGAUGAAUAAGCACCGGCUAACUCCGUGCCAGCAGCCGCGGUAAUACGGAGGGUGCAAGCGUUAUUCGGAAUCACUGGGCGUAAAGGACGCGUAGGCGGGAUGCCAAGUCUGAUGUGAAAUCCUAUGGCUUAACCAUAGAACUGCAUUGGAAACUGGUGACCUAGAGUAUGGGAGGGGGAGAUGGAAUUAGUGGUGUAGGGGUAAAAUCCGUAGAUAUCACUAGGAAUACCCAAAGCGUAGGCGAUCUCCUGGAACAAUACUGACGCUAAGGCGUGAAAGCGUGGGGAGCAAACGGGAUUAGAUACCCCGGUAGUCCACGCCCUAAACGAUGUUCACUAGUCGUCGGAAUGCUAGUCAUUUCGGUGAUGCACUUAACAGAUUAAGUGAACCGCCUGGGGAGUACGGUCGCAAGAUUAAAACUCAAAUGAAUUGACGG